RNAcentral lists this small RNA (2064 nucleotides) under Pan troglodytes (chimpanzee). RNAcentral's name for it is "processed transcript". Lineage: Eukaryota; Metazoa; Chordata; Mammalia; Primates; Hominidae. The record is from RNAcentral.
GGGGCGGGACCCAACUGAUUGUCAAAGGCGGCAGAUUGUAGUUUUUGUUUUGGCCGGAAAGGCUUACCAUGAAUUGCCAGGGCUGAGAGAGAUGGAGAAGGAUUCGCGGCGGUGACAGAUUAAAUUCCACAGUUACAUUAUAGACUUGGAAACUUGUCCUUGUGUGAACGGGAGCCGGAAAGCCUUGAGAACUUAUUCCUCGACCCGGACAUGGCACAUGAGAAAAUGAAACUAGGUUUCAAGUCGCUGCCGAGUUCCACUACCGCAGACGGCAACAUUCUGAGAAGAGUCAACAGUGCCCCUUUGAUCAAUGGACUUGGUUUUAAUUCACAGGUGUUGCAAGCUGACAUGUUAAGAAUUAGGACAAACAGAACAACGUUUAGGAAUCGACGCUCUCUGGAAAUUACUUCACCCACUUCUGUUGAACAGAAGCCCAAAGACCUCUUCUGACCUUGAGACUAUGCCUUCUCCCAAAUCGCCCCUUUGCUUUAUCUCCUAAGAACUCUGAAGUUGCCAUGCCUGUUCCUUUCUCUCCCACCAGGAAUUCUGGCACUUCUGCUCAAGCCGGGUGUCACUGCGUCACUUCUCCAUCCCCACCCCCUCCUCUUCCAAAGGAAGCAGGGGAAAUGUCUCAUCUUCCUAAGAGAAAAGGUUGUGCUUUUCUCGAGCAAUUCAUCUGUUCUAAUUUUAGGCCUACUGACAUCUGUCUCAUUAGGUUUUGCUUUUCCUAUUGGCAACCACAAACCCCAAAUCUAGUGUAUGGCCCACAAAGUUGCAAGCAUGUAAUACAUUCCUGAUCCUGCUUUAUGCCCUGCACAUCUAGCCCAUGUUCAGUUCAUGUUAAGUAGCAUUAUAAACCAUCUUAAAUCUCUUCUGAAACUAGGCAGAGACAUUUAUAAACACAGUGUACAACCCUUUGUUUAGGAUUUUCUGAGCAUUUUAUCUCUAGUUACUAUAGUAGGAAAUGGCUUAAAAACAGCAAACCUAGGAAAAUGAAAAAUAAUUUUUAAAAAUCUUAAUGUCUUUACAAUAUGAAUUUUCUGUGAUCUCUCUUAAAUGGAACUAAGCUUGGUUUUUCCUCCUAUCUUAAUCCCUUCACUGGAGAUAAUUCUUAGUAAUUAGCUUCACCCAGCACCCUCCCUAACCUCCCGCUACUUCUACUCCAAGCCACCUUCACACCAUGACAUCAUUCCUUGGUGCUGAUACUCUUGGUUCCUUCCAAAGACUUUUCUUUCUUCCUGGAGUGUGAGAAAAAGGCACAGUGGGAAAUUUACACAAAAGAUACCAGUGAUGUUUAUUACAUCUCAGUAAAGUCACUAUUUCUAUUUUAAUACUUUGUUUCAUGUGGAAAAAUUAUCUAAGGUAAUUCCUUUGCAAACGCCACUUGUAGUACUUAAUUUGGGGAGAAUUCUCUUCCAGAAGCCUUGUUUUCUGCAAUUAAUUUCUCACAUUAUUACUAAAAGAAUCAGCCAAUACAAGAUUUGAUCCACAUUUUGUCCAAUUAAAAAAAUUCUUGUAGCUUAUGAUUCUGUAGCUCAAGUUCAAAUCCUACCUACCUCAGACAUUUCACACUAUCUCCCUGCUGGUGUCAUCAAUUUCAGUCCAUCUUCUCAUGAUUUCCUGGAUGAAGUUUUUCAGUGGGAAAUCCUAAGCCUUUGCCUGAACCUAAACUGGUUCCUUCCCAUCCCUUAGGUAUAAAUUAAAAAUAAUCUCUUCUAGGGAAGUCUUUCAUCAUUAUUUUAUGAAGGAAAUUUGCCAUACCAUGUUUUCUCACUUAUAAGUCGGAGCUAAAUGAUAAGAACUUAUGAACACAAGGAAACAACAGACACUAGGGUCUACUUGAGCGGGGAGGAUGUGAGGAGGGAAGCAGAAAAGAUAACUAUUAGGUACUGGGCUUACUACCUGGGUGAUGAAAUAGUAUGUACAACAGGCCAGGCGCGGUGGCUCACACCUGUAAUCCCAGCACUUUGGAAGGCCAAGGUGGGCAGAUCACCUGAGGUCAGGAGUUUGAGAUCAGCCUGGUCAACAUGGUGAAACCCCAUCUCUACUAAAAAUACAAAAAAA